Molecule: ribosomal RNA, 2896 nt
Filed under: Jutongia huaianensis
Lineage: Bacteria; Bacillati; Bacillota; Clostridia; Lachnospirales; Lachnospiraceae
Description: 23S ribosomal RNA
Rfam family: Bacterial large subunit ribosomal RNA
Source: RNAcentral
AGGUUAAGCUGAUAAGGGCGCAGGGAGGAUGCCUUGGCACUAAGAGCCGAAGAAGGACGUGAUAAGCUGCGAAAAGCUGCGGUUAGGAGCAAAUAUCCGAUAACCCGCAGAUAUCCGAAUGGGGAAACCCGGCAGAGCAAACCUCUGUCAUCCAUACGCCAAUACAUAACGUAUGGAAGGGAACCCGGUGAACUGAAACAUCUAAGUAGCCGGAGGAAGAGAAAGAAACAUCGAUUUCCUGAGUAGCGGCGAGCGAAAGGGAAGGAGCCUAAACCGUGGUGCGUGCACCGCGGGGUAAUGGACUGCAUAAGUGAGCUGAAAGCUAGAAGAAUGGUUUUGGGAAAGCCAGCCAGAGAGAGUGAAAGCCUCGUACUCGAAAGCGGAAGGCAGCGGCAGGAUCCGGAGUACCACGAGACACGUGGAACCUUGUGGGAAAUCGGGGGGACCACCCCCCAAGGCUAAAUACUACUUAGUGACCGAUAGCGCAUAGUACUGUGAAGGAAAGGUGAAAAGAACCCCGGGAGGGGAGUGAAAGAGAACCUGAAACCCUGUGUCUACAAGCUGUGGAAGCACUCUAUACGUGCAACCGCGUACUUUUUGUAGAACGGUCCGGCGAGUUAUGCGGUGUGGCAAGGUUAAGCACUUAAAGUGUGGAGCCGAAGGGAAACCAAGUCUUAACCGGGCGUCCAGUCACAUAGCAUAGACCCGAAACCGGGUGAUCUACCCAUGUCCAGGUUGAAGCUGCUGUAAAAGGCGGUGGAGGACCGAACGCACAUCCGUUGAAAAGGGUGGCGAUGAGGUGUGGGUAGGGGAGAAAUUCCAAUCGAACUCGGAGAUAGCUGGUUCUCCUCGAAAUAGUUUUAGGACUAGCCUGUCAACAGUCUGCCGGAGGUAGAGCACUGAAUUUCCGCGGGGGCGUCAAAGCUUACCAAAGAAUAUCAAACUCCGAAUGCCGGCCAGAUGAUUUGACGGAGUCAGACUGCACGAGAUAAGUUGGGUAGUCAAAAGGGAAACAGCCCAGACCACCAGCUAAGGUCCCAAAGUGCGUGUUAAGUGGAAAAGGAUGUGGGGAUUCGAAGACAACUAGGAUGUUGGCUCAGAAGCAGCCAUACAUUCAAAGAGUGCGUAACAGCUCACUAGUCGAGAGUCCCUGCGCCGAAAAUGUCCGGGGCUGAAACACGACACCGAAGCUGUGGAAUCAUCGUAAGAUGAUUGGUAGAGGAGCAUUCUUAACACGGCGAAGCGUUACCGUAAGGAGACGUGGAGAGUUAAGAAGAGAGAAUGCCGGAAUGAGUAGCGAGAAAUAGGUGAGAAUCCUAUUGGCCGAAUAUCUAAGGUUUCCAGAGUAAAGCUGAUCUGCUCUGGGUAAGUCGGGGCCUAAGGCGAGGUCGAAAGACGUAGUCGAUGGAUAACAGGUUGAGAUUCCUGUACUCCGUAAUAUAAGAAAUGUGGGGACACAGAGGCAAAGCAUGAGCCGGGAAUGGAAAGACCGGUGCAAGCGCAGGAGGUGCAUAGGAGGCAAAUCCCCUAUGUAAGCCGGAGGCGUGAAGCGGAGCGAACAUAAGGGUAGCGAAGCAUGUGGAGCAGCUGUCGGGAAAAGCCGCUAUAAAGUAUUACGGACCCGUACCGUAAACCGACACAGGUGGAUGAGGAGAGAAUCCUAAGGCCGACGGAAGAAGCAUUGUUAAGGAAUUCGGCAAAAUGACCCCGUAACUUCGGGAGAAGGGGUGCCUUGGAAACAAGGCCGCAGAGAAUUGGCCCAAGCAACUGUUUAGCAAAAACACAGGUCUAUGCGAAACCGAAAGGUGAGGUAUAUGGGCUGACACCUGCCCGGUGCUGGAAGGUUAAGGGGAGUGCUCAGGAGCAAUCCGAAGGUGCGAACUUAAGCCCCAGUAAACGGCGGCCGUAACUAUAACGGUCCUAAGGUAGCGAAAUUCCUUGUCGGGUAAGUUCCGACCCGCACGAAAGGUGUAAUGAUUUGGGCGCUGUCUCGACAAUGCAUCCGGUGAAAUUGAAGUACCAGUGAAGAUGCUGGUUACCCGCGCCAGGACGGAAAGACCCCAUGGAGCUUUACUCUAGUUUGAUGCUGGGAUUCGAUACUGUAUGUACAGGAUAGGCGGGAGGCUAAGAAGAUGUGGCGCCAGCUGCAUCAGAGCCGCUGUUGGGAUACCGCCCUUGCAGUAUUGGAUUUCUAACCUGCGGCCGUGACCCGGCCGGGGGACAACGUCAGGCGGGGAGUUUGACUGGGGCGGUCGCCUCCGAAAGGGUAUCGGAGGCGCUCAAAGGUUCCCUCAGAAUGGUCGGAAACCAUUCGAAGAGUGCAAAGGCAGAAGGGAGCUUGACUGCGACACCGACGGGUGGAGCAGGUACGAAAGUAGGACUUAGUGAUCCGGUGGUAGAAAGUGGGAUUGCCAUCGCUCAACGGAUAAAAGCUACCCUGGGGAUAACAGGCUUAUCACUCCCAAGAGUUCACAUCGACGGAGUGGUUUGGCACCUCGAUGUCGGCUCAUCGCAUCCUGGGGCUGGAGCAGGUCCCAAGGGUUGGGCUGUUCGCCCAUUAAAGCGGUACGCGAGCUGGGUUCAGAACGUCGUGAGACAGUUCGGUCCCUAUCCGGCGCGGGCGUAGGAUAUCUGAAAGGAGCUGGCCUUAGUACGAGAGGACCGGGCUGGACGAACCUCUGGUUCACCGGUUGUCACACCAGUGGCAUAGCCGGGUAGCCAAGUUUGGAAGGGAUAAACGCUGAAGGCAUCUAAGCGUGAAGCCCCCCUUAAGAUGAGAUAUCCCGUGAGGAAUCACAUAAGACCCCUUAGAGACGAUGAGGUAGAUAGGGCAGAGGUGGAAGUACGGUAACGUAUGCAGCUGACUGUCACUAAUAGGUCGAAGGCUUAUCCAAAA